AAUUGAAUAAGCUUCAUAGGUGUAGGGAAUCCGGUGGGAAAUCCGGAGCUGUCCUCGCAACUGUUAGUGUAACGAAACGAUGGAAUCCACUGUGAGAGUAAUUUAUCACGGGAAGGUAUCGGAGUAGGGUGACACAAGCCAGUAGACCUACCUGUGAAGUCUUCAAAGC
RNAcentral lists this non-coding RNA (169 nucleotides) under Salimicrobium flavidum. The record is from RNAcentral. Lineage: Bacteria; Bacillati; Bacillota; Bacilli; Caryophanales; Bacillaceae.